GUCUACGGACAUGCCACCCUGAACAUGCCCUAUCUCAUCUGACCUCGGAAGCUAAGUAGUGUUGGGCCUGGUUAGUACUUGAAUGGAAGAUCACCUUGGAAUACCAGGUGCUGUAGGUG
RNAcentral lists this ribosomal RNA (119 nucleotides) under Pteropus alecto (black flying fox). The record is from RNAcentral. Lineage: Eukaryota; Metazoa; Chordata; Mammalia; Chiroptera; Pteropodidae.